CGAUCUCAAAUCAAGUAAGACUACCCGCUGAACUAAGCAU
This 40-nucleotide ribosomal RNA is filed under the name fungal sp. GD36E. RNAcentral describes it as "partial 28S ribosomal RNA". The record is from RNAcentral. Lineage: Eukaryota; Fungi.